UCGUACCAUGGAGGCGCUUGGGUUGUCGCUGACCUUUCCGAAAGGUCGUGCACGCCCGAGCGCUUUCAAUCCAUUUCACCCUUUGUGCAUCACCGCGCGGGGUCUCUUCCGAGAGGCUCGCGUUUUUCACACAUAAACAACACCCUUAUAGUUUAGAAUGUCAUUCAUUUGCGGUCACACGCAAUCAAUA
Molecule: unclassified non-coding RNA, 190 nt
Filed under: uncultured Russula
Lineage: Eukaryota; Fungi; Basidiomycota; Agaricomycetes; Russulales; Russulaceae
Description: sequence contains ITS1
Source: RNAcentral